UUUUUUUCUUCUUUUAAUUAAUUUAUUAAUUAUUAUUUCUUACAUUUAAAAUAUUUUUUAAAUGCAAAUAAUAAUAAUAAUUUAUUUUAUUAAAAAAUAUAUAACACAACUGACACAAAUACCCUUAACAAAUUUAUUUGGAAAAGGAUAAAAAAGGACAAAAGAAACUUUAUACACUUUGCAUCAUGUUGCACCAAAACGAUGCAAAGUAUAGUGUUUCAUUGGAGCAACUUUGCACCAAAAAAUGAUUCAAUUUUGAGGAUUUGGUAUUACCAUUGUAGUUGCCCUAAUGGCAUCUGAAAGAAUGCCUUAACACAUUGCAUUUUUUGCUAUUGAAAAUGUAUAUGAGACCAUUCAGGUAGGAAAAAUAUUAAAACUUAGAAAACCAUCCAACUAUAUAAAGAUAAUCUCAAACGGUGUAUGCGACCACAUCAUGCUGCAGCAUACGUAUGUAAAUGCCCAAGUACCAUCCAACU
RNAcentral lists this long non-coding RNA (476 nucleotides) under Olea europaea (common olive). RNAcentral describes it as "long non-coding RNA (OEUR_LNC013962)". The record is from RNAcentral. Lineage: Eukaryota; Viridiplantae; Streptophyta; Magnoliopsida; Lamiales; Oleaceae.